Molecule: ribosomal RNA, 1185 nt
Filed under: Arthrobacter sp. BMG5746
Lineage: Bacteria; Bacillati; Actinomycetota; Actinomycetes; Micrococcales; Micrococcaceae
Description: bacterial SSU rRNA
Rfam family: Bacterial small subunit ribosomal RNA
Source: RNAcentral
AAAGCUUUUGUGGUUUUGGAUGGACUCGCGGCCUAUCAGCUUGUUGGUGGGGUAAUGGCCUACCAAGGCGACGACGGGUAGCCGGCCUGAGAGGGUGACCGGCCACACUGGGACUGAGACACGGCCCAGACUCCUACGGGAGGCAGCAGUGGGGAAUAUUGCACAAUGGGCGCAAGCCUGAUGCAGCGACGCCGCGUGAGGGAUGAAGGCCUUCGGGUUGUAAACCUCUUUCAGUAGGGAAGAAGCCGGCCUUUUGGGUUGGUGACGGUACCUGCAGAAGAAGCGCCGGCUAACUACGUGCCAGCAGCCGCGGUAAUACGUAGGGCGCAAGCGUUAUCCGGAAUUAUUGGGCGUAAAGAGCUCGUAGGCGGUUUGUCGCGUCUGCCGUGAAAGUCCGGGGCUUAACUCCGGAUUCUGCGGUGGGUACGGGCAGACUAGAGUGCAGUAGGGGAGACUGGAAUUCCUGGUGUAGCGGUGAAAUGCGCAGAUAUCAGGAGGAACACCGAUGGCGAAGGCAGGUCUCUGGGCUGUAACUGACGCUGAGGAGCGAAAGCAUGGGGAGCGAACAGGAUUAGAUACCCUGGUAGUCCAUGCCGUAAACGUUGGGCACUAGGUGUGGGGGACAUUCCACGUUUUCCGCGCCGUAGCUAACGCAUUAAGUGCCCCGCCUGGGGAGUACGGCCGCAAGGCUAAAACUCAAAGGAAUUGACGGGGGCCCGCACAAGCGGCGGAGCAUGCGGAUUAAUUCGAUGCAACGCGAAGAACCUUACCAAGGCUUGACAUGAACCGGAAUGAUGCAGAGAUGUGUCAGCCACUUGUGGCCGGUUUACAGGUGGUGCAUGGUUGUCGUCAGCUCGUGUCGUGAGAUGUUGGGUUAAGUCCCGCAACGAGCGCAACCCUCGUUCCAUGUUGCCAGCGGGUUAUGCCGGGGACUCAUGGGAGACUGCCGGGGUCAACUCGGAGGAAGGUGGGGACGACGUCAAAUCAUCAUGCCCCUUAUGUCUUGGGCUUCACGCAUGCUACAAUGGCCGGUACAAAGGGUUGCGAUACUGUGAGGUGGAGCUAAUCCCAAAAAGCCGGUCUCAGUUCGGAUUGAGGUCUGCAACUCGACCUCAUGAAGUUGGAGUCGCUAGUAAUCGCAGAUCAGCAACGCUGCGGUGAAUACGUUCCCGGGCCUUGUACACA